AUCCAGAUGACUAGUCCCAAAUAGGACGAAAUGUGCAUCCUGGAU
This is a non-coding RNA of Trichobilharzia regenti, 45 nucleotides long. NCBI's taxonomy places the organism in Eukaryota, Metazoa, Platyhelminthes, Trematoda, Strigeidida, Schistosomatidae. The record is from Rfam.